UUUAUAUUUGCUAAAUAAAAGUUAAAAAAAAAACCUGAAACAUUUAGAAAACUUUAUCUCCAACUUUUUUUUUAUUCUGAGCUUCCUCUCCCUCUUCUCUCUCUCCUCUUUGUGUGUGUGUGUGUGUAUACGUAUACACUUCUGCCUCCAUCUCUCCCUCCUGUAAAUCUCCCCCCAUUCCUGAUAUUUGAUAGUUGCCAUUGCCCUGUCUUCAGGGUCACUUAGUCCUCCUCAUCUCUAUUCUGAUGUAAACACACAGUGUGUCCCUAAUAUUAGAUACUGCAUUUUUAUUGUAGAAUGCCCUCUCAGAUUCUUUGUGUAGUUUCCAUUUUCUGAUUACAUUUCAUAACUUUUUACUUGUAUGAGCACAUUCUCCUUUAUCUAUGAAAUAUAACUAUCAUAGCUAAUUGGGUACCUUUGUUUACUAAUUUCAGUAUUGAAAUCAUCUUGGGAUCUGAAAGUUUCAGCUGAUUGUUUUGUCUUUUUUUUUUUUUUUAUUUGACAGGCAGAGUUAGAUAGUGGGAGAAAGAGACAGAAAGGUCUUCCUUCUGUUGGUUCACUCCAUGUGGGUGCAGGGCCCAAGCACUUGGGCCAUCCUCUACUGCCUUCCCGGGCCACAGCAGAGAGCUAGACUGGAAGAGGAGCAACCAGGACAGAAUCCGGCACCCCAACCGGGACUAGAACCUGGGGUAUCAGUGUUGGAGGCAGAGGAUUAGCCAAGUGAGCCGUGGUGCUGGCCAGAUUGUUUUGCCUUUUGAGAAUAGGUCACCAUUCAUUGGUCUUUUUUGCAUUUUGUUUUCAUGGUAUCCUGUACUAAUAUGGAAAUGCUGGAUUUUAGAUUUUCCCCUGAGGAAUAUUAACUAGGUUGUUGUACCCCAAUUGAUGACUCUGUUUCUUGGUUUGUUGGCUGCAAUAAGAAUUCAGUUUAUUUUAUUUAUUUUAUUUUUAUUUGACAGGUAGAGUUAGAGAUAGAGAGAGAAAAGUCUUCUUUUUGUUGGUUCACCCCCCAAAUGGCCACCACGGCCAGGGCUCUGCCAGUCUGAAACCAGGAGCCAGGUGCUUCCUCCUGGUCUCCCAUGGGGGUGCAGGGGCCCAAGCACUUGGACCAUCCUCCACUGCCCUCCCAGGCCACAGCAGAGAGCUGGACUGGAAGAGGAGCAACUGGGACUAGAACCCAGUGCCCAUAUGGGAUGCUGGCACUGUAGGCAGAGGAUUAACCAAGUGAGCCAUGGUGCCAGCACCAAGAGUUAAGUUUCUAAAAAUUUCUACCUGUAUGGCUUUGAGUCUGUUCUCUACCUCGGGUUGAAGGUUUGGUUCAUGCAACAUUUAAACUGCCUCUUUUUAGCUUUUUGUUUGAAAAAGUGCUCCCUCCUCUGGCUUUCUUUUUGGUGGGGGGAGAGGGUAGGUUUUCCUAAUCAAGUAGUAGUGGCUGUGGUUACUCCAAUCUGUCCUUGGCUUUGUAGGACAGAGACAUCCUCUUAACUGUUAAGAGUUUUAGCUGCCCACACAACUUUGUCCUUCCCUCUGGUUGUAUUAUUUUGUUUUCCAAAUUUUGAAGUCCCUUCUAGAUAUGGCACAUUUCUUUUCUUUCUCCGGUACCUUUGUGUGAUUUUAUUUCUGUGUUUUUCCCAUUAAGCUUCAAGGAAGGCAGACUUGUCAUCUGCAGGCUGCAUGGCUCCAGCAGUAGCUUAUAUGGCCAUCACAGAAUCGCACCUUUGACGAUUUGCCCCCAGGUGAGAUAAAGCCGAGAAGCGACUGAGGAGGAUAAAUUCCAGGGUGACCCUUUGGAAAUGAGUGGAGCUGUGUAACUUACAGAACACAUCAACACAGAAUGAGAUUAUGUGGGGAAUUGAAGAUGAACAUCAAUUUACUUGUUCCUGAAAAUAAAAGUUUCAUGAUUGUGACUUGUCAGGAUGUCAUCCUAUUAAUGCAGAACAAAAAUGCCAAGUUGUAUGAAAAUACUUCAAAAAAGUUCAUGGAAAAUCAGAAUUAAAAGGUAAAUCUAUUUGGGUGCAAGUUUUUUAAAUACAUGCAUAAUUUUUCACUGUAUGCAUUUUUCAUGAAUUUUUAAAAGACCCUUUGAAUGCAUUGUUUAGAUAAGUAGGUGUGGGUUCUUUCUUAAGAACUGGUGCAGCAUUACAGUAAUUGGAUUGAAGUGUCAAAAUCUUACCAAAGUUGGUUUGAUUCUGAAACUUUUAAAAGAAAACAAGAACUUAGAGUUUUCAAAGUUAGCAUUCUAAUUAUAGGAAUGCCUAUCGGUUUCCCAUGGCCAAUACACCUGCUUUGGAACUGUGAAUGUACAGUGGAGGGCUGAGACAUCUAGAAAGGUCAGGUCUUUGAUAUUUAUUGGCUGAUAUUCUAGUGUUAUGAAUUUGAUAAAUUGAAGAAUAAAUCACCUUUUUUUGUUGAAGUAAUGCAAACUUGGAUAAUGUAAUCACAGGUCUAUGAAUGCCUUCCAAUGACAUUCUAGAAAAAUGCAUUGCCUUACAAAUGGUAUAGGAUGUAGUUUCCCUUGAGAAGAUAGCAACUCCUGAUGAAUGGAUUGUUUUUAGCAGGAAAUAAGCUGCUCAUGUUAAAGUGAUUGAAUAUUCUCUUUCCAAUCUUAUAUAAAGUGGCCGAACAGAAAUGGUUUUUAGUAUGAUAGGUAUUCUCUUGAGUGCCGAAAGCAAUAGAUCAACUAUUAGACUUACAAACAUUUUCUUUAUGAGUGUUUCCCAUAUAUUUUUCAUCUGCUUGGACACAACAUGCUAUCCUUAAAUAUUAGAUCACAAAAGCCAUAAGUCCUACAGUAAAUGUAAUACAUUCUAUGUAGUUAUUGGGAAAUUAAUUACUAAGUAUUUUGUUUCUUUGAUAAAGCUUUUAUGAAGUGCUUUGGGGUUUUUAAUCUAUAUUUUUCAAAAUAUAUAAUUGCAUUCCAGGUUUUUUGUUGAAGCCUUUGACACAAAGAAAUAUGUCAGAAUGUUUUCUUUAUAUAUAAUUUCAGCUUUCAUAUUCUUUGGUUUGUUGACUCCCCCUUUAGGGCAUUUUGCUGGAAAGAGACUUACUUUUCACUUGGUGCCUUUGAGAAAGUCAUUAUUAAAAAAAAUGACCACUGGCAAUGCCUCUGUCCACCAGCUUGCCGCACUAGUCCACCAAUGAGAGAAGCUACAGCCAUGCUUGUUAGCCAAUUUUUCAUAUCCACUUACCUAGUUAUUAUUAGUACACAGGAAAGCUUAUUUUAGUAGUUGUUGUUUCCAGGUUAGGCUAUUUUCCCCCUAUAAUUCUAAUAAUCUGGGUUGGUGACCUCAUGAUUUGUGCCAUGCAAAUGUUAUGCAGUACUCGUCCACACAGAACCCUUCACAGCAUUGCUGGUGAUUAUAUUUCUGGUAAGCAGCCUCUGUAACUCUACUUCUAGAACUCUAGGUGCUUCCCCUUUGAUAUUACUUUUGGAAUAGAGAGCUCCCAUCCUCACUCCUCACAUCAUUAAGCAAGUUUGCAGUCCAUGGAAGUGGCCAAACCUUAGCAGGGAAACUGGUUAAGCACAAACUUCUCAUCCCUUUAGCCUGGCCCAUUUCUCUCCUCUGGCUAUAUAUGUCAUUAAACUCUCAUUACUUUGAGGAAAACUCAAUAUAAAAUACAAAAUGAAGUUCUAGGCCUCAAAAGUUUUAUAUGUGUAUAUAUAUAUAUAUAUAUAUAUAUUUGUUUUGUGUUUUGACAGGCAGAGUUAGACAGUGAGAGAGAGAGAGACAAAGAGAAAGGUCUUCCUCCUGUUGGUUCACCCCACAAAUGGCCUCUACGGCCAGUGCGCUGCACCCAUCCGAAGCCAGGAGCCAGAUGCUUCCUCCUGGUCUCCCAUGCAGGUACAGGGCCCAAGCACUUGGGCCAUCCUCCACUGCCUUCCCGGGCCACAGCAGAGAGCUGGACUGGAAGAGGAACAACUGGGACAGAAGCCGGCGCCCCAACCAGGACUAGAACUAGGAGUGCUGCUGCCUCAGGCUGAGGAUUAGCCUAGCAAGCUGCAAUGCCAGCCAAAAGUGAUGUAUUUUCUUAUUGUGUCAUUCAACAAAUUUGCAUUGUGCAUCUGCUAUGUGUCAGGCUUGGCGCUGUGCUUUUAGGAAAAUCCAGGGUAAAAUAAGCCAUCAUUUCUGAAGGAGAAUGUAAAAGGGAGAGUAGUAGAAGAGGAAAAUUUGGAAAUAAACCACAAAUGUGAGAGAGAAUAUUAAGGAAGCCUAAUGUUUAUUCUUUGGAAAGCUAACAAGAUAGACUACAGGAAAAGACUGAACAAGAAAACUGAGAAAAUAAAAAUCAUGCUUAGUGAAAAAAGAUGAUGACCUUAGACACAUUAGAGAUUUAAACAUACUAAGACAACAGUUAUAAAAGAGGAAGCCAGAUAGUACACAUGUGACAAGCUGCUCAAAAUCAUUCAUAAUCUGAGAAAUGCAAAUGUAAACACCAUGAGAUAUCUUUUUAUGCCUUGUGCAUUGGCAGAGUCAGAGAGCUAGAUGAUGUCAAGUGUUAGCAGGUGCUAAGAAUCCAGGGAUGAAGAACACUGAUUCAUUGUGAGUACAAAUAGACGGGUUCUAUCAAGCAGGAGAAUUGGCUGAUAUUGUAUAAUCUAGUUAAGUAUACACUUGUGCUUCAUGAUCCAACAUUUACACUCCUAGUUUUAUGCUGUAGGGUGGUUAACUCUAGUGUCAACUAAACUGGGCAAUGGUCAAUUUUACGUUUGCCCAGAUAUCCAAUCAAAUAUUAUGCUGUGUGUUUCUGGAUGAGGUUAACAUUUGAAUCCAUAGGCUGAGUAACACACAUGGCUCUCCCUAGUGUGGUGGAUCCCAUCCAGUCAGUUGAACCCUUCAGUAAAAUCAAAAGAAUGACCCAUCCUUGAGUAGCAGAGCGUUUUCCCUGUUUGAUGUCCUCUGAACUAGGGCCCAGGCUUUUGUUUUAACCUUUGGAUUAGAACUGAGACAUCAACUCUUCCUGGGUCUUGAACCUGCCAGCUUUGUAUCUGCAGGUACACCAUUGGCUCUCCUGGGUAUCCGGCCUCUGUCUCAGCCUGCAGCUGUGGGAACAUUCCAACCUCCACAUCUGUAACAGCCAAUUUUUCAUCUCACUGUCCCUCUCUUUUUCUCAUUCACACACACACACACACACACACACACAAUUUGUUCUGUUCUCAAGAGAAGCUUCACUAAUGGACAUGUUAAAGCCUUAUAAGGAUCUUCAUUGUGUUUGUGAAGGUACACACUGGAUAGGUAAAAUGUGAUGCAGUUCACAUCAUGGAUGACUAGGCCAUGAUUGGAAGCAACACACCAAAUGUAACAAGAUGAGUAGAUAAUGAAGAUUGAAUGCUGAAUUAAGAAAGUAAGAAGCAGAAUGCAAUACGUUAUUCAGUAUCAUUAGUGUAAAAUAAUAAGGCAUGCAUAUAAAGCAAUAGUAUAUAUUUUAUAAGACAAAUGUCUAUCUUACCAGGAUAUAUUUUUUCACAUAAAUAGAAAUCUAUGUGUGCAGGCAUGCAUGCAUAAUUCACACACACAUGUGGAUGGGUGGGUGGAUGGAUUUUGCCUUACGUGGAGAGAGAAAUGAGAGCAGACUAUGGAAAUAAGAGGGAAAGGAUAAAAAUUCAAAUAAAUAAAUAAUAAGAGCUUUACCUAGGCUAAUGCACCAAAAACUGUGGAAUGAUUAAUUAUACUCUGCUUCUUAAGGGAGAGAACGAAAAUCUGAUUGCAUCCAACAUUAAUUAGAUUACUUUAGACAAGGCAAAUAAACAAGAGUCAAGCUCCUGAGGAUCAGAGAUUCUGAGAACUGCUAAGUUCCCUUGAGGUUGUUGAUCCAAUGUACCAUGCAAGGCUGAAUCAUCUCCCCAAGCUCUCUGGGAAAAGGCUGUGCAGCCUGUGCCAGCGCCCUCUGCUGGUGAUAAGCUCAGAGCUCAUUUUACCUGUGGAUACCUGUCUGCUUGAAAGAGCUUCAGUCUACCCCAGGCUCCUGAAUGGAUCAAGACUUCCUUCUCAUAAUUUGGUUCCUUUUUCCUAACUUCCUUUGGCUCAUUUUGGUCUCAACAUAUUACCAAAGAUAUAUAAAGACAUUUUUCUUGGUAUUUAAAUCUUGAAUGUCUUGACUCCAACUUGGGAAAGCUUGGAUAAAGGAAGGGUCCUUUCCUUAAUCUUCAACUUCACUGCACAGCAUGGAAAUAUAUUUCUCCAGCUCAAAAAUCCCAUGAGUCAUAGAAUUACCUUUAAUUCUUAUCUAACUAAAAUGUCACUGAGAAUCCCAUAAAUGAGCAUCGAUAUUGAAAUAAUUAUUACAUAAAAUAUAAGAGUCCAAUGUUAAAUGUGCAACUUUGGUUUAUUAAAUAACUUCUAUUUGUAUGGUCAUGGUAUCUGGUAAGGACUGAAAGAAAGGAAACUGGGUCCCUACUCAGAAGGAAAUGAAUACACAGGAGAUUUGUGUCAUGGAGGCUGCUGCAUUCCUUUCAUUAGUGUCCAUUCACUUAGAAGUAAGCAUGGCCCAGCCUGUCUCUGCAAAAGUGUCAACUUAGAUAAAAUAUUAUGUGAUAGCUAAAACACAAAAUACUAAAUGGCUCACUCACCAUUUUUUGAAAGGAUUUAUUUAUUUAUUUAUUUAUUUUUGACAGGCAGUGUUAGUGAGAGAGAGAGACAAAAAGAAAGGUUGUCCUUCCGUCGGUUCACCCCACAAAUGGCCGAAAUGGCUGGUGCGAUGUGCCGAUCUGAAGCCAGGAAUCAGGUGCUUCCUCCUGGUCUUCCAUGCAGGUGCAGGGCCCAAGCAGUUGGGCCAUCCUCCACUGCCUUCCUGGGCCACAGCAGAUAGCUGGCCUGGAAGAGGAACAACCGGGACAGAACUGGCACCCCAAAUGGGACUAGACCCUGGAGUAUCGGAACCACAGGCAGAGGAUUAGCCAGCCUAGUGAGCCAAGGUGCCGACCUAUUUUUUUUUUUGAAAAUGGAAUUUUCUUUAUUUUUUUAUUUAGUAAAUAUAAAUUUCGAAAGUACAGUUUAUGGGUUACAAUGGCUCCCCCCUCCAUAAUUUCCCUUCCACUCGCACCCCUCCCAUCUCCCUCUCCCUCUCCCAUUCCAUUCACAUCAAGAUUCAUUUUCAAUUCUCUUUAUAUACAGAAGAUUGAUUUAGUAUAUAUUAAGUAAAGAUUUCAUCAGUUUGCACCCACACAGAACACAAAGUGUAAAAUACUGUUUCAGUACUAGUUAUAGCAUUACUUCACAUUGGACAAAAUAUUAAGGACAGAUCCCACAUGAGAAGUAAGUACACAGUGACUCCUGUUGUUGACUCAACAAUUUGACAUUCUUGGUUAUGGCAUCAGUAAUCUCCCUAGGCUCUAGUCAUGAGUCGCCAAGGCUGUGGAGGCCUUUUGAGUUUGCCAACUUCGAUCUUAUUCCGACAGGGUCAUAGUCAAAGUGGAAGUUCUCUCCUCCCUUCAGAGAAAGGUACCUCCUUCUUUGAUGGCUCCAUUCUUUCCACUGGGAUCUCACUCGCAGAGAUCUUUCAUUUAGGUGUUUGUUUUUUUUUUUUUUUUUUUUUUUUUUUUUUUUUUUUUUGCCAGAGUGUCUUGGCUUUCCAUGCCUAAAAUACUCUCAUGGGCUCUUCAGCCAGAUCUGAAUGCCUUAAGGGCUGAUUCUGAGGCCAGAGUGCUGUUUAGGACAUCUGCCAUUCUAUGAGUCUGCUGUGUAUCCUGCUUUCCAUGUUGGAUCCUUCUCUCCCUUUUUGAUUCUACCAGUUAGUAUUAGCAGACACUAGUCUUGUUUGUGUGAUCCCUUUGACUCUUAGACCUAUCACUGUGAUCAAUUCUGAACUGAAAUUGAUCACUUGGACUAGUGAGACGGCAUUGGUGCAUGCCACCUUGAUGGGAUUGUAUUGGAAUCCCAUGGCACAUUUCUAACUCCACCAUUUGGGGCAAGUCCGAUUGAGCAUGUCCCAAAUUGUACAUCUCCUCCCUCUCAUUCCCACUCUUAUAUUUAACAGGGAUCACUUUUCAGUUAAAAUUUAAACACCUAAGAAUAAUUGUUUGUGAAUUACAGAGUUCAACCAAUAGUACUAGAACAAAACAAAACAAAACAAAAAAACUAAAAUUGUGGGGAGCAACUCAGGACUAGACUGUUACUGGAAUUAAGACUUAUUCUAUGCAUCUGCUCUCCCACAAUAUGGUGCUGGGAGAGGAGUAAACAACUUCUACACAGCUGCCUCUCGCCAAUUUGACUGAUGAGCUGCAGGAGCUGAUCUUGCUCCUAAUUGGAGGAGAGCAGCAUGCUCGGCGUGUGGGUAGCAGAGUUGGGAUUGGUGGAAGAGGACUAUAAAAGAGGAGAGAGACGGCACAGAGGUGGAAGGGUCGGCAGCCAACCCGGAAAGGACCAGCAGCAAACCCGGGAAGGGCCUGAGCAGACAAACAGCGCAGGGUCCUGUGUCAUUCCUCCACGAAUGGGGGAGCGACAUAAUGGUGCUGUGACUUGGAUAGGAAGCCUAGGAGGGAUAAUGGUGCCGUGACUCGGAUAUGAAACCUAGGAGGGAAGAAGUGGGAAAAUACCAGAGAGAGAGACUAGCAAAGAGCCUAGGGAAAAGCCGGACAGAAAAAGUGCCGGGAGAAAUCUAGGGUUGAAAGUGAAAGUGAAAGCAAGAAGAAACGUAGGCUCGGAUACGGACUACGGGGGGAAGCUGGGAGAAAUCUAAGAUUGAAAGUGAAAGUGAAAGCUAGAAGAAACAGACUGGGAUAUGGACUGUGGGGAGAAGCCAGGAGAAAUGAGAGAGAAAUAUUGUUGGAAGAAAAGUUAGGAAACAUACCGGGUAGAGAAAAAUAUGUUAGGGAAAAUGAAGCCGCGGGGGUAGGCCGAAACGGAGACGUAAGCUAGGUUGGGAUUCGUCAAGUCAGCCCGGGGAGCAAAAGGUGAAAAACUAUACCGGAAGUGGAGACGUAAGCUAGGUUAGGAUCCGUCAGAUUAGCCCAGGGAGCAAAAAGACGGGAAGCCAAACCGAAAAGCGGAGGCGUAAGCUAGGUUGGAAUUCAUCAGGUUAGCCCGGGGAACUUAGACUGAAGACCGGUAGCAGAAACGUGAGCUAGGCCGUGAUUCGCGGAAGCUGCUGAGCACAGAGAAAGCACGUGGGGCACAAGCGGAGAGAGCACACAGGGCGCGAGUGGAUAGGAGAGCGCGGGGCUGGCGCGGAGGCCGUGGUGCGGGCAUGAAGGGUGCGGAGACCGCGCAGCGCGCGCGAAGCCGGGAAGCCACGCAGAUAAGAGAAGCGCAGGCUGAAGCCACGCAGAGCCGGGAAGCUGCCGCGGGGUGAGGCGCCGAGAAGCCGCCUCGGGGCAGGCGCCGGGAAGCCGCGGGGAUAAGAGAAACAGAAGUAUAGAAGUAAAAUGAGAGAAAUAAGAAUGCUGGCAGAUAGAAGUAAAAUAGGAGAGAUAGGAAUGCCCAGAGAUAGAGAAAUAGAGAAAAAUAAGGCCUCCCCACAACACAGCAAUGAGAGGGCUUGGAUUCGGUCUGCCUGAUUAGUAAGGCGAUAAGCACUUGCAGGCAGCUUGAGCAGAGUGUGCGCUGCAGGGCACCGAACAUAGGCAUGCAUCAGCGCCUAAAAACCUCCUCACAACAUGGCAAAGAGAGGACCUGGAUUCAGUUUGCCUGAUUGGUAUGGCUUGUAAGCACCUGUGGGCAACUCUAGCAAGCAGAGCAGAGUGUGCGCCGCUGGGCACCGAAGACAGGCGUGUAUCAACGCCAAAGAAUAAAAAGAAAAAAUAAAAAAUUGUGGGGAGCAACUCGGACUAGACUAAGUUACUGGAAUUAAGACUUAUUCUAUGCAUCUGCUCUCCCACAGUAUGGCGCUGGGAGAGGAGUAAACAACUUCUGCACAGCUGCCUCUCGCCAAUUUGACUGAUGAGCUGCAGGAGAUGAUCUUGCUCCUGAUUGGAGGAGAGCAGCGUGCUCAGCAUGUGGGUAGCAGAGUUGGGAUUGAUGGAAGAGGACUAUAAAGGAGGAGAGAGACAACAUGCACCAGGAACAUCCGGAUAACAUCUGAGCAGCCCCCGAGAGAGCUGGCCAGCGGUGUGCCGCUCCCCUGCAGAAGUGGGGAAAGUGACAGGCGGAGCCGCCCCUCCACGGAGGUGGAGGGGUCGGCAGCCAACCCGGGAAGGACCAGCAGCAAAUCCGGGAAGGGCCGAGCAGACAAAAGAACAGUGCAGGGUCCUGUGUCGUUCCUCCGCGAAUCGGGGAGCGGCAUAAAAUGGAUAAAGUAUUAGAUUGUACAUCAAUAGUCAGGACAAAAGCUGAUCAAGUCACUGUUUCUCAUAGUGUCCAUUUCACUUCAACAAGUUUCCCCUUUGGUGUUCAGUUAGUUGUCACUGAUCAGGGAGAACAUAUGAUAUUUGUCCUUUUGGGACUGGCUUAAUUCACUCAGCAUAAUGUUUUCCAGAUUCCUCCAUCUUGUUGCAAAUGACCGGAUUUCAUUGUUUUUGACUGCUGUAUAGUAUUCUAUAGAGUACAUGUUCCAUAAUUUCUUUAUCCAGUCUACUGUUGAUGGGCAUUUGGGUUGGUUCCAGGUCUUAGCUAUUGUGAAUUGAGCUGCAAUAAACAUUAAGGUGGGCCGGCGCCGCGGCUCACUAGGCUAAUCCUCCACUUUGUGGCACCGGCACACCGGGUUCUAGUCCCGGUCGGGGUGCGGGAUUCUGUCCCACUUGCCCCUCUUCCAGGCCAGCUCUCUGCUGUGGCCAGGGAGUGCAGUGGAGAAUGGCCCAAGUGCUUGGGCCCUGCACCCCAUGGGAGACCAGGAUAAGUACCUGGCUCCUGCCAUCGGAUCAGUGCAGUGCACUGGCCACAGCACGCUGGCCGUGGUGGCCAUUGGAGGGUGAACCAAUGACAAAGGAAGACCUUUCUCUCUGUCUCUCUCUCUCACUGUCCACUCUGCCUGUCAAAAAAAUUUUUUUAAAAAAUUAAAAAAAAAACAUUAAGGUGCAGACAGCUUUUCUGUUUGCCAAUUUAAUUUCCUUUGGGUAAAUUCCAAGAAGUGGGAUGGCUGGGUUGUAUGGUAGGGUUAUAUUCAGGUUUCUGAGGAAUCUCCAGACUGACUUCCCUAGAGGCUUAACCAGUUUGCAUUCCCACCAACAGUGGGUUAGUGUCCCUUUUUCCCCACAUCCUCUCCAGCAUCUAUUGUUGGUAGAUUUCUGAAUGUGAGCCAUUCUAACUGGGGUGAGGUGAAACCUCAUUGUGGUUUUGAUUUACAUUUCCCUGAUUGCUAGUGGUCUUGAACAUUUUUUCAUGUGCCUGUUGGCCAUUUGGAUUUCCUCUUGUGAACAUUGUCUAUUGAGGGCCUUGGCCCAUCUCUUAAGUGGGUUGUUUGUUUUGAUGUUGUGGAGUUUCUUGAUUUCUUUGUAGAUUCUGGUUAUCAACCCGUUAUCUGUUGCAUAGUUUUCAAUAUUUUUUCCCAUUCUGUCAGUUGCCUGUUCACUCUCCUGACUGUUCCUUUUUCAGUACAGAAACUUCUCAAUUUGAUGCAAUCCCAAUAGUUAAUUUUGGCUUUGAAUGCCUGUGCCACCAGGGUCUUUUCUAGGAAGUCUUUGCUGGUACCUAUAUCUUGAAGGGUUUCUCCAAUGCUCUCUAAUAAUUUGAUGGUGUCAGCUUCGUAGAGUUAAGUCUUUAAUCCAUGUUGAGUGAAUUUUUGUGUAAGGUAAAAGGUAGGGGUCUUGCUUCAUGAUUCUGCACAAACAAUUCAGAGCAAUCGAAAAAGAGGGAAUCCUCCCAAAUUCUUUCUAUGAAGCCAGCAUCACGUUAAUUCCUAAGCCAGAAAAAGAUGCAGCAUUGAAAGAGAAUUAGAGACCAAUAUCCCUGAUGAACAUAGACGCAAAAAUCCUCAAUAAAAUUCUGGCCAAUAGAAUGCAACAACACAUCGGAAAGAUCAUCCACCCAGACCAAGUGGGAUUUAUCCCUGGCAUGCAGGGAUGGUUCAACAUUCGCAAAUCAAUCAAUGUGAUUCACUACAUUAACAGACUGCAGAAGAAAAACUUUUUUAUCUCAAUAGAUGCAGAGAAAACAUUCAAUGAAAAAUAACACCCUUUCAUGAUGAAAACUCUAAGCAAACUGAGUAUGGAAGGAACAUUGUUCAGUACAAUCAAAGCAAUUUAUGAAAAACCCACAGCCAACAUCCUUUGAAUGGGGAAAAGUUGGAAGCAUUUCCACUGAGAUCUGGUACCAAACAGGGAUGCCCACUCUCACCACUGCUAUUCAAUAUAGUUCUGGAAGUUUUAGCCAGAGCUAUUAGGCAAGAAAAAGAAAUUAAAGGGAUACAAAAUUGGAAGGAAGAACUCAAACUAUCCCCCUUUGCAGAUGACAUGAUUCUUUAUUUAGGGGAUCCAAAGAACUCUAUUAAGAGACUAUUGGAACUCAUAGAAGAGUUUGGCAAAGUAGCAGGAUAUAAAAUCAAUGCACAAAAAUCAACAGCCUUUGUAUACACAGACAAUGCCAUGGCUGAGGAAGAACUUCUAAGAUCAAUCCCAUUCACAAUAGCUACAAAAACAAUCAAAUACCUUGGAAUAAACUUAACCAAGGACGUUAAAGAUCUCUAUGAUGAGAAUUACAAAACCUUAAAGAAAGAAAUAGAAGAGGAUACCAAGAAAUGGAAAAAUCUUCCAUGCUCAUGGAUUGGAAGAAUCAAUAUCAUCAAAAUGUCCAUUCUCCCAAAAACAAUUUACAGAUUCAAUGCAAUACCAAUCAAAAUACUGAAGACAUUCUUCUUAGAUCUAGAAAAAAUGAUGCUGAAAUUCAUAUGGAGACACAGGAGACCUCGAAUAGCUAAAGCAAUCUUGUACAACAAAAACAAAGCUGGAAGCAUCACAAUACCAGACUUCAGGACAUACUACAGGGCAGUUGUAAUCAAAACAGCAUGGUACUGGUACAGAAACAGAUGGAUAGACCAAUGGAACAGAAUAGCAAACACCAGAAAUCAAUCCAACAUCUACAGCCAACUUAUAUUUGAUCAAGGAUCUAAAACCAAUCCCUGGAAUAAGGACAGUCUAUUCAGUAAAUGGUGCUGGGAAAAUUGGAUUUCCAUGUGCAGAAUCAUGAAGAAAGACCCAUACCUAUUUUUUAUUUUUUUAGAAAACUUUUAUUCAAUGAACACAAAUUUCAUAGGUACAGCUUUAGGAAUAUGGCGGUUCUUCUCCCCAUACCCA
Non-coding RNA from Oryctolagus cuniculus (rabbit), 13159 nucleotides. NCBI's taxonomy places the organism in Eukaryota, Metazoa, Chordata, Mammalia, Lagomorpha, Leporidae. The record is from RefSeq and is a predicted model, not a curated record.